This 325-nucleotide unclassified non-coding RNA is filed under the name Hevea brasiliensis (rubber tree). The record is from RNAcentral. Lineage: Eukaryota; Viridiplantae; Streptophyta; Magnoliopsida; Malpighiales; Euphorbiaceae.
CAGUAAUUUUAUCACCAGGUUACUUUUUUUUAUAAAAUUAUUCAUCUUAUUCACAUAUCACACAAUUGAAUUUAAUUGGUAGAUUGUGGGAUAGGGAGCGAGAAUUGGAGUAGCAAAAUUUUAGAUUCUCCGCCAUUCGAAGCUUCCCAACACCUGCUCUAAUAAUAGAACUACAAAAAAGUAACCUGGUGAUAAAAUUACUGCAAUCAGCGACAACUAUAAGAAAAAAAAUAAUAAUAAAUAGGGGGAAAGGGGCAUAAACUUUAACAUCAAUGAGAUUUCAUUGAAAGCAAAUCAUUGUUUAGGAAGGUAGUAAGGGUAUCCA